RNAcentral lists this ribosomal RNA (254 nucleotides) under uncultured bacterium. RNAcentral describes it as "partial 16S ribosomal RNA". It matches the Rfam family "Bacterial small subunit ribosomal RNA", at positions 524 to 776 of the family's 1533-position model. The record is from RNAcentral.
UACGUAGGGUGCGAGCGUUUGUCCGGAAUUAUUGGGCGUAAAGAGCUCGUAGGCGGUUUGUCGCGUCUGCCGUGAAAGUCCGGGGCUCAACUCCGGAUCUGCGGUGGGUACGGGCAGACUAGAGUGUGGUAGGGGAGACUGGAAUUCCUGGUGUAGCGGUGAAAUGCGCAGAUAUCAGGAGGAACACCGAUGGCGAAGGCAGGUCUCUGGGCCACUACUGACGCUGAGAAGCGAAAGCAUGGGGAGCGAACAGG